UUUUCCUAAGUAGAUAUUAAAAAUAAAGCUUAAGGAAUGGCCAGUCUAGUAAAUAGACAAGUGUAAUUAUCUAUUUAUUUGAAGCUUUCAGAAAUUCUCUCUGCCCAAAUACUCUUCCUCUCUCAUUUGCCACAGCAUCUAAAACCACACUGUAACUGUAUUGAGGGAACGGGGACAGUGGGGGAGGACAUUAAUGUACCAUAGUAGCUUCAAGAACACACAAGUGAGUCUGGCAGAUGUUUAGUUGUACUGCAGCUAACAGCAUACAUCAAGUUUAUUAGAAGAGUGGAAAAGAGUCAGAUUUUUGUGGAGCAAAGGCAUUUCAAAAGAAAUUAAAAUCUCUGGCCAGCCAGUAACACCAACAGCAUUAGAGUAUAGAAGAUAUCAGGGAUGCGGAAUGAAGGAAAGCCAGGUGACUGGUGGUGCAGAAUAAGCAACGAAUCAAAUAACUAAACUGAACUGAUGUUACUGAGUAUCUUUACCACAUACUAUGCUUGGUGCUGGGGAUACAAAGAUAAAUAAGGAUAAAUUCAUCUAGAGGACCAGAUAAACUUUAGCUAACCACAAUAUUUCAUCAAUUCUCCAACUCAAGUUUUUUUUUUGAUGUUUAAACACCUUUGAAAUUGAUGGCAUCUUAUGAUGUUAGCAUUUAUUUUUUCUUAUACAGUGGUAUAUAAAAUAAUUGUGUGUUACAACAGAAGAAAUAUAGUGUAUGGAUUAUAAAAUAUUGCUAGCAAGUAGAAGGAACAAUAGCUAAAAUAUAUCGUGUAGAUUAUAGUGAACUAUUGAAAGUGUUUAAUCUGGGGAGUAACAUAUAAGAUCUCUGUAUUCAUUUUUCCCUGCCUGUGCUUGUCUUCUUCCUUUCAUUCAAUAAGCAUUUAUGGAGCACAUGCUAUAGGUCAAGUUCUCUGUUAGAUCCUGGGAAUAUAGUGGUGAAAAAGAUAGAUGUAACCAUCAAUCAACUGGAUCUAAUUGACAUUUAUAGAACACUUCAUCUGACAGCAGCAAAAUACACAUUCUUCUCUGAUUCACAUAGAACAUUUGCUAAGAUACACCACAUUCUGGACCAUAAAACACACCCUGACACAUUUAAAAGAAUAUAUAUCAUAUAAAGUGUGCUCUCAGACCAAUGGAAUUAAACUAGAAAUCAAUAACAGAAAGAUAGCUGGAAAAUACCCAAAUAUUUGAAGAUUAAUCAGCAGACUUCUAAAUAACUUCUGUGUCAAAGAUGAUGUUUCAAGAAAUUAAAAAGUAUUUUGAACUAAAUGAAAAUGAAAAUACAGCCUAUCAAAAUUUGUAGGGUGCAGAGAAAGCAGUGCUUAGAAAGAGAGAGACACAGUCCUGGCCUCAUGGAACUUACUGACCAAUGACCAAGUAAAUAGAAACAUUUUUAAUUAAUUAAUUAAUUUAUUUAUUUUUGAGACAGGGUCUUGUUCUGUAACCCAGGCUGGAGUGCAGUGGCGUGAUGAUCGCAGCCCACUGCAGCCUCCACUUCCCAGGCUCAAUCGAUCGUCCCACCUCAGCCUCCCAAGUAGCUGGACUACAGAUGCAUGCCACCAUGCCCAGCUAAUUUUUGGUAGAAAUAGGGUUUUGCCAUGUUGCCCAGGCUGGUCUCGAACUCCAGGGCUGAAGUGAUCCUCCUGCCUUGGCCUCCCAAAGUGCUGGGAUUACAGUUGUGGGCCACUGUGCCUGGCCAAAAACAUUUUUUUAAUGGAAUAAAAAUAAUUAUGAUUACAGUGGUGUUAGAGAAGUAAGGGGAUGUGACUACUUUUUGAUAAGAUGGUCAGGGAAGGUGACAUUUAAGUUGAAGUCCAAUUGUUGGCAGAUGGGAAAGUUUUCCAGGCUGAGAGAAUAGCAUGUGUGAGGCAGAAAACUGCUUAGCAUGCUUAUGGAAAUGAAAGAAGGUCAGUAUGAUAGAAACUUAGCAAAGAGAAAAGAGAUAGGAGAUGGUUUGGAAGGAUGGACAGGGAUUAGAACACAUAGGGAUGUAUAGACCUCAGGAAGUGUCAAGGGAAGUCAUUGAGGGGUCCUAAGCAGGAGGAUAGGAUCCAAUUCAUAGGUGGACACAAGAUUCCUGGGCCAGCAGAAGAGACCUUUGAAUGCUGGAUUAGACAUCACCAAGAACUGUAGCAGAGGCAAGAACCUGAGCUCCCAACCCAGGCUGCCAGUGGAUUGCCAGAGGAAUGUGUUUUCUGAGGUAAUUUGUUUUCUCAAGGGGAUGAACAUUUGAACAUCAGGCAUUGGGUGUGAAUACAGGAGUCCACCCUUAUCUACAUUUCCAUGGUUUCAGUUACCCAAAGUCAAUCUCUGUCCAAAAAUAUUAUGUGGAAAAUUCCAGAAACAAACAAUUUACAAGGUUUCAAUUAUGCAUCAUUCUGAGUAGUGUGAUAAAAUCUUGUGCCUCUCUGCUCUGACUUGUCUGGGAUAGGAAUCAUCACGUUGCCCAGCAUAUCCCCACUGUGUACACUACCGGCUCAUUAGUCACUUAGUAACCUUUGUGGUUAUCAGAUCCACUGUCAAGGCAUGGUCAUGCUUGUGCUGAGCAACCCUUAUUUUACUUAAUAACAGCCUCAAAGCACAAGAAUAGUGAUGCUGGCAAUUUGAAUAUGCCAAUGAGAAGCAGUAAAGUACUUCUUUUAAGUGAAAAUGUGAAAGUUCUUGACUUAAUAAGGAGGGAAAAAAUUGUAUGUUGAGGUUGCUAAGAUCUAUGGUAGAAACAAAUCUUCUAUCCAUAAAACUGUGAAGAAGGAAAAAGAAAUUCAUGCAUAGUGUACUUAGGGUUCAGUACUAUCUGCAGUUUUAGGCAACCAUUGGGGGUCUUGGAAUUUCUCACCAGCCUAGUAGGGUAGGAGCUUGGGAUAGAAUUUGUUGAUUUAAAUAAAAUAAGAAAAUGUGUAUUUCUUGCACACUUGAGUGAAGGAUGAAGAUUUUUGCCCAUUUUAAGAAAACAACUUUGCCUGCUGUGUGGAAUGGAUUCUAAGGAGGCAAGUGCAAAAAUGAGGUGAAUUUGGAGGCUACUGUAGUAUCUAUGCAAGAAAUACUGUGGACUCGAAUGAGGAGGAUGGCGGUGGAAAUGGUGAAAAGUAGAAAGAUGGGAAAUGCCAUCAAAUAUUUUUGGUACCUGUGAUAGACAGGCUACCAAUGUGUUUCCAUCACCCAUGCCUCCUGGUGUUGUCUUCAUGUGAUCCCCUCCUCUUGACUGCAGGUGGCAUCUGCCACUUAUUUCCUCCAAAUGGAAUAUGACAAAGGUGACAGGAUGUGUAUGAUUAUAUGACUGUAUUUCAUAAGAUUGUAAGGCUCACCCUAAUGGAGUCUCUGUCUCCCUUGCUUCCUUGAGGAAGCAGGCAGCCACGCUGGGGGAUCCCACAUGGUAAAGAACUGCAGGUGGCCUCUAGGAGAUGAGGGCGGCCUCCAGUCAACAGCCAGCAAGAAACUGAAGUGCUCUGUCCUACAACCUUGUGUAACUGAAUUCUGCCAACAACCUGAGUGAGACUGAAAGUGGAUCCCUCUCCAGUCAUGCCUCAGUGUGAGAGAAACCUGUGACUUGCUUCUAACCCAUAGGAUAUGGCAAGGAACUAGUCAUAUCUGAGAGCAGCCUCCAGAAAACAGUCAGCAAAACACUGAGGUUCUCAAUCCGAUAGUCAAUGAGGAACGGAAUGCUGGAACAAUGAUGUGAGCUUGGAAGCAGAUCCUUCCCUUCUGCUGGGCCUCAGGUGAGACUGCAGCUCCAGUCAUCAUCUUGAUUGCAGCCCACAGAAACUACCAACCCACAGAAACUGUGAGUUAAUAAAUGUGUUGUUUUAAGUUG
RNAcentral lists this long non-coding RNA (3808 nucleotides) under Homo sapiens (human). Its description in RNAcentral is "PREDICTED lncRNA (TCONS_00219010)". The record is from RNAcentral. Lineage: Eukaryota; Metazoa; Chordata; Mammalia; Primates; Hominidae.